ACCAGACUCCUACGGGAGGCAGCAGUGGGGAAUAUUGCACAAUGGGGGGAACCCUGAUGCAGCGACGCCGCGUGGGUGAAGAAGCGCCUCGGCGCGUAAAGCCCUGUCAGCAGGGAAGAAAAUGACGGUACCUGAAGAAGAAGCCCCGGCUAACUACGUGCCAGCAGCCGCGGUAAUACGUAGGGGGCAAGCGUUAUCCGGAUUUACUGGGUGUAAAGGGGGCGCAGACGGCGAUGCAAGCCAGGAGUGAAAGCCCGGGGCCCAACCCCGGGACUGCUCUUGGAACUGCGUGGCUGGAGUGCAGGAGGGGCAGGCGGAAUUCCUAGUGUAGCGGUGAAAUGCGUAGAUAUUAGGAGGAACACCAGUGGCGAAGGCGGCCUGCUGGACUGCAACUGACGUUGAGGCUCGAAGGCGUGGGGAGCAAACAGGAUUAGAUACCCGUGUA
RNAcentral lists this ribosomal RNA (445 nucleotides) under uncultured bacterium. Its description in RNAcentral is "bacterial SSU rRNA". It matches the Rfam family "Bacterial small subunit ribosomal RNA", at positions 330 to 792 of the family's 1533-position model. The record is from RNAcentral.